Molecule: long non-coding RNA, 644 nt
Filed under: Mustela putorius furo (domestic ferret)
Lineage: Eukaryota; Metazoa; Chordata; Mammalia; Carnivora; Mustelidae
Description: lncRNA (ENSMPUG00000029439.1)
Source: RNAcentral
CAGAAGGGUCCGAGCAAACGUACAAAUGAACAAAUUAAUGUAUCUAAGUGUACAGAGAGACUCCUCAGGCAUGAUGAGGCUGAAAAUCUUCAACUAUACGAAGGAGUCUGUGUAAGGCUACAAGUUCCUCUGUUUGGUCUCAAGUGUAGAAUCAGGACCAAGUCUGGAAGCUGAAGGAAAGCAAAUUUCAACUCAACAAAAGGAGGACCACUGUGCUAUCUAGAGGCUUGGACAAAAUGCUCAGGUUCCUUAUCCUAGAAGGGAUCCAGCCACAAGAGAGCUUACGAGUGUUGACAUCCAGGCAACCAGCUCCUGGUGCGCUGGAAACACAGAGGCAGAGACGGGGCAGCCCCGAACUGGAUGCCAUCUCUCAAGUGAACCUUGUGUCUUGCAGAUGCCCAGUUUGGUCUGAGGUGCCAGCGUUUGCACACACUCCCUCAAGGGGAAGUAUACGGAGGAGAUUUACUGUAUGUUCUUCCAGAAUGAUGCCAGAAGGCUGCCGUGUGAAAUUACUAUGGGGCACAAGAGUGGAGCUUUCCAGAUCUGGCCGUAACAAGUACAGGGGUGGCAGGUGCAGCAGCUCACCCCCCCAGACGGGGGAAACAAAGCCCUGGGACUGGGAAACUCACUGCUGUUUGUUCUGA